RNAcentral lists this ribosomal RNA (219 nucleotides) under uncultured bacterium. RNAcentral describes it as "partial 16S ribosomal RNA". It matches the Rfam family "Bacterial small subunit ribosomal RNA", at positions 29 to 290 of the family's 1533-position model. The record is from RNAcentral.
AGUGAAUGCUUGCGACAUACAUAACACAUGCAAGUUGAACGAAUCUAUUUUGGUUAGUAGCGUACGGGUGAGUAAUGCAGAAGAAUUUUGGUGUGAGUUUGGGAUAGUAAUUUUUGUUGAAUACCAGAUAUUAUGAAGAUUGAUCGCUUAUAUGGGAGCUUCUGUAAGAUUAGGUUGUUGGUGGGGUAAAUGCCUACCAAGCCAUAGAUCUUUAGCCGG